AGAGCCCAGAGUCUCUAUGUUGCCCAGGCUGUUUUUGAACUCCUGGGUUCAGGUGCUCCACCUGCCUUGGCCUCCCAAAGUGCUGGGAUCACAGGUGCGUGCCACCUUGCCCCACCCACUCUUCCCCUCAUAUCCGCUAGCCUUGCUCUCUCUGCCCUUUCAGGUUUCCACUCUGAUGUCAGCUUCCCCGAACACCCCAUCCAAAAUGACACCCUCCCCCUCUGGGGAGCACCCCUCCAUUCCACAGGUGAGAGGACCAAGGCGCAGAGAGGUUACGGAACUUGCCCACAUCAUCCAGCACCAACUCUGGCUCCCAGGUCGCCUCUCCAAGAGUGGCCCUGACUCUGAGCUCCUCCGCCCCACCCUCAUGUUGCCAUGGUAACCCAGUGGCUUAUCAAAAAGAGAAGGAGAGAAGAAGAGAGGUGUCCUGGGAGCCUCCACCCUCCCAGACCCCUCUGCCACCAGCCUCAUUUCUUCCAGGGGCUUCCAUUUGCUUGAAAAGUUCUUCUGAGAGUCUAACCCACAGCCUGUCCCCAACUCACACCUACAUACCCAUGGGCUGGGAGCUGGCUCCUCUGGGGGAGGGAGGCAGCGUGUUGGCAGAACUUCCCAAGAAGGAGAGAGCAAGCGAGGAGCAUGCCUGUGUGCGUGUGUGUGUGUGUGUGUGUGUGUGUGUGUGUGCAGGCAGGGGUGGGGGAGAGGGGUGAUUCUUAAAGGGCCACCGCACAAUUAGCCCCCUCAGCAAGGCCCCUAAUGAUACGUCUAAUUAGCAGCCCUCUAAUUAGCAACAACUUAGGCAUAAUUACAAACCCACCAGGAUCCAAAGCAAAGGCUCAUGCUCCCUUCUCCCUCCGCCUCCCCGGCUUUCAGGAGAAACAGGGGCCAGCCGGGAGUCAGGAAUUCUCCUAAAGCAUCAAACCAAACCCCGCUCUCUCUGGGAGGAAGCCUCGGCCUGGGAAGUCCUCCCUCAGGUUUAAUCACCUGUCCUUCCUGCUGCAGUCCUCAAGAGAGACUACAGCCAGGUGAUGGGUUCUCAUGUCCACCCUCCUAGCCCAGGGGCUGGGUCAAGCACAGCCUAGUGCAAUCCCUUUUUCCUGCAAAACCUGGUUUCUCGCUGGGGCCUUGCGGGAGGAGCAGUCAGGGAGAGAAAGCACUAGAUAAAUAUUUGUGAAAUGAAUGACCAAGAGGUCUGAGCCCUGUCACCGGGGACCGUGGGCUCCCUCUGCUCCUGGCUCCUGCCUCUGCCUCUCCAUCCACCAGCAGCCCUGAAACCCAAUCUGCUUUUGGAAUCCAUUUUUUUUUAAGGAUCAGGUGGAGCCCAGGGUGGGAGUGGGGAGGGCAGAUGGCAGGUACCGUCUCCCAGGGCCAUCUCUCCCUCCCUUCGUGGGCCUGCGGCCAGCUGCGUCGGCGGUGAGCACCCCUGUUCUGCCUCACGUGCCUCUUAGGUCCUUGAUCAGAAGAACGGGACUGCAUGCCUGGGGGUGGGUGCAGUCUGGCGUGCCAGGAGGAGGCCUGCACCCCCUGCUCGAAAC
This 1532-nucleotide long non-coding RNA is filed under the name Pan troglodytes (chimpanzee). Its description in RNAcentral is "long non-coding RNA NONPTRT008165". Lineage: Eukaryota; Metazoa; Chordata; Mammalia; Primates; Hominidae. The record is from RNAcentral.